Molecule: transfer RNA, 75 nt
Filed under: Merluccius polli (Benguela hake)
Lineage: Eukaryota; Metazoa; Chordata; Actinopteri; Gadiformes; Merlucciidae
Description: tRNA-Cys
Rfam family: tRNA
About the family: Transfer RNA (tRNA) molecules are approximately 80 nucleotides in length. Their secondary structure includes four short double-helical elements and three loops (D, anti-codon, and T loops).
Source: RNAcentral
GGGGGUAUAGCUCAGUGGUAGAGCAUUUGACUGCAGAUCAAGAGGCCCCCGGUUCAAAUCCGGGUGCCCCUCUCA